GGGGAUGUAGCUCAGUUGGCUAGAGCACUUGCAUGGCAUGCAAGGGGUCAGGGGUUCAACUCCCCUCAUCUCCACCA
This 77-nucleotide transfer RNA is filed under the name Candidatus Margulisiibacteriota bacterium. Its description in RNAcentral is "tRNA-Ala". It matches the Rfam family "tRNA". From Rfam's summary of the family: Transfer RNA (tRNA) molecules are approximately 80 nucleotides in length. Their secondary structure includes four short double-helical elements and three loops (D, anti-codon, and T loops). Further hydrogen bonds mediate the characteristic L-shaped molecular structure. tRNAs have two regions of fundamental functional importance: the anti-codon, which is responsible for specific mRNA codon recognition, and the 3' end, to which the tRNAs corresponding amino acid is attached (by aminoacyl-tRNA synthetases). tRNAs cope with the degeneracy of the genetic code in two manners: having more than one tRNA (with a specific anti-codon) for a particular amino acid; and 'wobble' base-pairing, i.e. permitting non-standard base-pairing at the 3rd anti-codon position. The record is from RNAcentral. Lineage: Bacteria; Bacillati; Candidatus Margulisiibacteriota.